This 441-nucleotide ribosomal RNA is filed under the name uncultured bacterium. RNAcentral describes it as "partial 16S ribosomal RNA". It matches the Rfam family "Bacterial small subunit ribosomal RNA", at positions 338 to 795 of the family's 1533-position model. The record is from RNAcentral.
CCUACGGGAGGCAGCAGUGGGGGAUAUUGCACAAUGGGGGGAACCCUGAUGCAGCGACGCCGCGUGGGUGACGGAGCGUUUCGGCGCGUAAAGCCCUAUCGGCAGGGAAGAAGGAGGACGGUACCUGACUAAGAAGCCCCGGCUAACUACGUGCCAGCAGCCGCGGUAAUACGUAGGGGGCAAGCGUUAUCCGGAUUUACUGGGUGUAAAGGGAGCGUAGACGACCAUGCAAGUCUGAUGUGAAAACCCGGGGCUCAACCCCGGGACUGCAUUGGAAACUGUGCGGCUGGAGUGUCGGAGAGGCAAGUGGAAUUCCUAGUGUAGCGGUGAAAUGCGUAGAUAUUAGGAGGAACACCAGUGGCGAAGGCGGCUUGCUGGACGACGACUGACGUUGAGGCUCGAAAGCGUGGGGAGCAAACAGGAUUAGAUACCCGUGUAGUC